AUUGAACGCUGGCGGCAUGCCUUACACAUGCAAGUCGAACGGUAACGCGGGGCAACCUGGCGACGAGUGGCGAACGGGUGAGUAAUAUAUCGGAACGUGCCCAAUCGUGGGGGAUAACGUAGCGAAAGUUACGCUAAUACCGCAUACGAUCUAAGGAUGAAAGCGGGGGAUCGCAAGACCUCGCGCGAAUGGAGCGGCCGAUAUCAGAUUAGGUAGUUGGUGGGGUAAAGGCUCACCAAGCCAACGAUCUGUAGCUGGUCUGAGAGGACGACCAGCCACACUGGAACUGAGACACGGUCCAGACACCUACGGGUGGCUG
Molecule: ribosomal RNA, 319 nt
Filed under: uncultured Pseudomonadota bacterium
Lineage: Bacteria; Pseudomonadati; Pseudomonadota
Description: bacterial SSU rRNA
Rfam family: Bacterial small subunit ribosomal RNA
Source: RNAcentral